UGAUACAGCAAACCCCCUGGAACACACGUGUGACCUCACACCUCUGUUUCUGCAGGGAUAUUCGAGCAUUCACAUUUCUAUGCAGAUCGAAGCAGGCAUCAGUCUGACACUUAAGGAAGCUCACUAGAUACUCCAUCUCAGAGGUAACCCACCUCAUCAUCACGUUACCUUGCACAGAUGACUUCCUAGGUUCCAUUCUCCUGGCAGUAGCUGCUGAGAUGUUAGGAGUUUCCAUCUGAAGUUUGGUAGAUUUCAAUCCAUCACCGGGGUCUACAGCGUCUCCAGUUCUCUCAGGUCCUGUUCUUCGCCUACUUGGUUCCAAGGCAUCGAGGUGCCAUUCUCUGAUCCAAACGUGAGAUGGCCCUUCUAAUACCAGAGAGAGGGAAGUCUCUUUGCUCUCCCCAGUGAGUGAUUUGGUGAAAGACAAAAUGAUUUUCCCUAGUCUGGAGCCCUCUUUGAGACUCAUCUGGGAGCUCUGGAGUUCUUGCUAAAGACCAUGUACACUUCAAUGGAGCAUCCUAUCCAUGAGACUCUGAGUGUGUGGCAUGCUGAAGAAGGGGAGGUUUAUUAGGUAAAAUGAAGCUGGAUAUUGUAAUAUGAAGUUGGAUAUCAUGAAAAAAUUCUUCUCCAAAAGAGUGGCGAUGUAUUGGAACAGACUGUCCAUGGAAGUGGUGGAGUCACCGUGUUCAAGGUGUCCAAGAGCCCUGGAGAUGUGGCACUGAGGGCCAUGACAAUAAGAACAAAUGACAGGAGGAACCACAUUCAGCCCGGAUACGCGUAUGGCUCUGAGUCUGUUUCCACCAGUUUAUCCCUCAGGAAUUGAAACGUGCAGAGGAGGCCACCUGGUAAAAGCCGAAAUGCUCCCCGGAGGACUUCUUCUGCCUGACCAAGUUUCUUCUUUUUUAUUUACUUUUUUGCCUUGUUUUUGUCAUUAAAUGUACAGUCUCACUGCACACUUGCUCCCCCGUAGCCGAUCCUUUCCUCCAGAGCCACAUUACCCUGCUGUUAGAGAAUCCGUCCCAGUGCUUUGUUUGUGUUCCUCCUUUCUCAGGCUCUAAAGCAGGAGAGGUGCUAGGGGGAGAUUUCCCAUCAAAAUACCCUCUGUCAAAUGCACUUCACAUGUAACUUCGCUGACACAAAUCAGGGCUGGAGGAAUGUCAUUGAAGUCAAUCCUUUUGUUUGGCAGGGGAAAUCCAAUAAGUUCUCUGGCAGCUGUUUGUUUGAAAUACCAGCCACUCUCUCCGCCCCAUUCAAGGCCAAUAUCAAUUUCUUCAUUUCACACCUUCUGUUUCUUCCAUAUAAUAGAAUCAUAGAAUGGCUUGGGUUGGAAGGGACCUCAUAUAUGGGAGGAAAACAAUAGUGAACAAAGAAAUAAACAAA
This is a long non-coding RNA of Gallus gallus (chicken), 1380 nucleotides long. Lineage: Eukaryota; Metazoa; Chordata; Aves; Galliformes; Phasianidae. The record is from Ensembl.